Molecule: long non-coding RNA, 808 nt
Organism: Suricata suricatta (meerkat)
Lineage: Eukaryota; Metazoa; Chordata; Mammalia; Carnivora; Herpestidae
Exons: 5
Source: RefSeq, a predicted model, not a curated record
CGAUACGAUUCUGCACACUGUGUGGUGUGCGCUUAUUAGGAGAGUCUGGGGUUUCAGCGGCACCGGGCGUGAACCCCUCUGCCCCAGCCGCGGCCAAGGGUCAUGUCCAGGGUAAUACGCUUCUGUUUGGGUCACCUACCUCUUCCAGUCCAAACAUCGUGGCCAAAGCAAUCACAUGUGAGAACUGAGUAACUGACGGCCCUAACGAAAACCCCAGGGAGAAAGGGAUGUUGAAGGAUGAGAACAAGUGCUUACCAGAGUGUGUGUUCUAAAACCACAGCCUUGUGUUAGCAGAAUGACUCACGUGGCUAUAAUCAUCUGGCAGCUUCUCUGGGGCUGGAAGAUCCAAGAGGGCCUCACUCACACGCCUGGAGAUCAGCUGGGACUGCCAGCUAGAAUGUCUCUGUUCUCAUCCAUGCAGCCUCCCUGACAAGAUGGCCUGCACUGUUUACCCAGAGCUGAUCAAAGUAGGCAAGCCUCAGUGCAAAAGCACGUAUCAGGUCUCGGGCUUGACUUUUACUGAUGUCUCACUGACCAAAGUGUGUCACAUGGCCACACCCAAAAUCAAUGUGGGAAGGCAUCACAUAGGGAAAGUCUCUUGAAGUUCUGUCCUUGUUCCAGGUACACCCAGGGAGCACAAGGCAAGAGAAUUUUGCCCAGACGGAGACUGUGUACAGGAGACAUAUUUAGUAAGCAGUGCUGCUGUGGCCAGUGUCAAAUAGAGGUAUGAAGUCCUGAAUCAUUAAAUUCUAUGCCUGAAACUAAUAUUACACCAUAUGUUAACUGGAAUUUAAAUAAAAACAAGAAA